GACGUAGGGGGCGAGCGUUACCCCGGAUUCACUGGGCGUAAAGGGCGCGUAGGCGGCUGCGUAAGUCCGGCGUGAAAUACCGCGGCUCAACUGCGGAACUGCGUCGGAUACUGCGCUGGCUAGAGGAUGGUAGAGGCUAGUGGAACUAGCGGUGUAGCGGUGAAAUGCGCAGAUAUCGCUAGGAACGCCGGUGGCGAAGGCGACUGGCUGGGCCACUCCUGACGCUGAGGCGCGAAAGCUAGGGGAGCGAACGGGAUUAGAAACCCCGGUAGU
RNAcentral lists this ribosomal RNA (273 nucleotides) under uncultured bacterium. RNAcentral describes it as "partial 16S ribosomal RNA". It matches the Rfam family "Bacterial small subunit ribosomal RNA", at positions 524 to 794 of the family's 1533-position model. The record is from RNAcentral.